This 1004-nucleotide long non-coding RNA is filed under the name Lactuca sativa (garden lettuce). RNAcentral's name for it is "long non-coding RNA (LSAT_LNC009432)". The record is from RNAcentral. Lineage: Eukaryota; Viridiplantae; Streptophyta; Magnoliopsida; Asterales; Asteraceae.
UGGAUUAAUCGUUUGGCGUACUCCAACCGUCGAGGAUUAGAGCAUUAAUCAGAAAUUUAGGAUUAAUCGGCUUUGGCGGGAUUAAUCGGUCAACAAAUGUAGCACCUGGUUUCCGGUAUGUGAAUUUUAUUUGAGCAUUGCCCUAAUUUAGCCUUAGCCUCGGCGAGUCAUAGGGUCCGACUCGCCGAGUAGGGACGAGACUCAGGACGCGUUUUAAGUAGGCGACUCGACGAGUCCAUAUCCUGGACUCGGCGAGUCACCGCUGCGGGAUGAAACCCUAAGUUUCAAGGGUUUGCACCCUAUUUAAACUCUCAUUCCGCCCCAACUCGUCCCCAUUCACCCCCAGAACUCCCCCUACAUCGUUUUCCCUUGUUUUCUUGAGAGUUUGAGGUAUUCUUGGUGUGUUCUUGAAGGUUUUGAAGAGUAAGAGGAGUAGAUCAAGAAGAGGAGAAGGAGAUCAGCCAUCCUUGUGUCAUUUCAACUUUUCCUUUGAGGUAUUCUUGGUGUGUUCUUGAAGGUUUUGAAGAGUAAGAGGAGUAGAUCAAGAAGAGGAGAAGGAGAUCAGCCAUCCUUGUGUCAUUUCAACAUUUCCUUUGAGGUAUAACCCGUUUUCCCCUUGAUUCUAUGCUUAAAACUUCAUUUGGGUCCUUCUUGGUCAAUUCCCCAAGUUUGCAUGUUCAUUAUAUGUUGUAAUAAGGCGUUUGGCCUUUGGAUCUAUGUAAGAUUGAGCUCCAGGAGCUCAGAUCUGUUAGCUUUCUGGCCUCAUGAGGCUUGUUAGCCCUAGAUCUACCAUUUUGAGACAUUUUGAGCCUUAUAAUCCAUAUUGGUGAAUAUCCACACGUAAAGUUGGAAACUUUACGUGUGAUUCGUGUCCUAGAAGUCCAGAUCUAUGAAUGGCAUGGUCUGGAACCGAGCAAAUCGGUAUAUUUAAGGAGUGCAUGGCGACGACUCGGCGAGUCGCAUAGGUGACUCGGCGAGUCUGGUCGCGAGUCACCGAAUUGGUC